CAUGCCAAUAAGGGUACGUGGAGGGAAUAUAGCUAUUUGCAUCUUUGGUAAAGGGAACAUUUUAAAGUUAUUGGUAUGAACCUCUGCCACACAGGUGAAUUGAACAGAAAUGCCUUUCCUGGUUUAGUCUUUCCUCAUCUAUGAUCAAUGACAGUUGAGAUCUUUUUUUAAUAACUCCGUACUUUUCUUGAAACUCAAGGUAACUUAAUAGGUUGAUUUGACAAAGUGCUUUGUGAGAUCCAUAAAUUCUUGGAAUUCACAGAUUUUUUUCAGAACCCUCAGAAUCAUGAGGCUAUUUCAAAUUUUGUUUUUAGUAGUAAAGGGGAUUCAAAUUGUGUGUGAUUAAGUAGUAUAGAGGAUGUGUACACGUAUUAGUCUUUUUAGACAAUUUUGAAUUUGUUGGUUGGGCUAGCUAUUUUCUCCAGGUUUUAAGCUUCUUAAAUGCUGAUGAUGUAGUGAAUGAUAUGUAGAUUUUUGGUGCAGUUCACAUAU
RNAcentral lists this long non-coding RNA (492 nucleotides) under Bos taurus (domestic cattle). RNAcentral describes it as "long non-coding RNA NONBTAT006839". The record is from RNAcentral. Lineage: Eukaryota; Metazoa; Chordata; Mammalia; Artiodactyla; Bovidae.